RNAcentral lists this ribosomal RNA (434 nucleotides) under uncultured bacterium. Its description in RNAcentral is "partial 16S ribosomal RNA". It matches the Rfam family "Bacterial small subunit ribosomal RNA", at positions 29 to 507 of the family's 1533-position model. The record is from RNAcentral.
AGCGAACGCUGGCGGCAGGCCUAACACAUGCAAGUCGAACGAACCUUUCGGGGUUAGUGGCGGACGGGUGAGUAACACGUGGGAACGUGCCUUUAGGUUCGGAAUAACUCAGGGAAACUUGUGCUAAUACCGAAUGUGCCCUUCGGGGGAAAGAUUAAUCGCCUUUAGAGCGGCCCGCGUCUGAUUAGCUAGUUGGUUGAGGUAAUGGCUCACCAAGGCGACGAUCAGUAGCUGGUCUGAGAGGAUGAUCAGCCACAUUGGGACUGAGACACGGCCCAAACUCCUACGGGAGGCAGCAGUGGGGAAUCUUGCGCAAUGGGCGAAAGCCUGACGCAGCCAUGCCGCGUGAAUGAUGAAGAUCUUAGGAUUGUAAAAUUCUUUCACCGGGGACGAUAAUGACGGUACCCGGAGAAGAAGCCCCGGCUAACUUCGUG